UACAGAGGGGGCAAGCGGUGUUCGGAAUUACUGGGCGUAAAGGGCGCGUAGGCGGCCUGUUAAGUCGAACGUGAAAUCCCCGGGCUCAACCCGGGAACUGCGUCCGAUACUGGCUGGCUUGAAUCCGGGAGAGGGAUGCGGAAUUCCAGGUGUAGCGGUGAAAUGCGUAGAUAUCUGGAGGAACACCGGUGGCGAAGGCGGCAUCCUGGACCGGUAUUGACGCUGAGGCGCGAAAGCCAGGGGAGCAAACGGG
This 253-nucleotide ribosomal RNA is filed under the name uncultured bacterium. Its description in RNAcentral is "partial 16S ribosomal RNA". It matches the Rfam family "Bacterial small subunit ribosomal RNA", at positions 524 to 776 of the family's 1533-position model. The record is from RNAcentral.